AACACCAAAAAUAAGUAAAAAAAAUCUAAAUGAAACUGUCUUGCAAUGAAUUAUCACAUCAAAACUGUACUCGAGCACUCGAGGUGGAAGGAAAGUUCCUAACCAAAUAAACUAGGUUAGGUUAACAUAACCUGACAUAAUAAAUUAGGCAAUUCAAACCACGUGACCUCUGGUUGGCCCACAAACUAACAAAGAGGUUAUGUUUGUAUCUAUUUUUCAAUGAUUUUUCAUUGUUUAUCGUCGUAUUUUGUCUAUUUUGGAUUCAUUUGGAUUUCGUUUCCUGUUUUUGUGAACUUUAUAAACUUUACCACAAUGCAAACUGAUUAUUUAAAGAAAUUAUUAUUGGAAACUCCAGAUGUUGCGAGAAAGGUAGGCAAAACAAUUUUUAUUUACUGUUCAUUUUGCCCCGAUAUUUUUCAAUAAUGAUGAAUUUUGCAAGCAAUAACAUUAUUUAUUUUAUUGUUUUAGAUAUUUAUUGAAGCUGAAAAUAAUUGGGGAUUUAGAUCCAUACGCAAUUCAGUCAGAAUUGGAUUUUACAGUAAAGUGCAGUUCAUCAAGUUACUAUUAUAGAUGUUUAUACAUAUCUGGUGGAGUCUCACAGUUGCUACCCUAAGCAGCAGAUGAAAGUUUACAAAAGCCUUCAGGCACAUAAAUAUUUUACAGCUGGAUUUGUUUUGAAUGGAGUAAAAAUUGUUAAUGAUUUCCUGAUUUCCAUAUUAUUGUUGGAAAGGUGAAGCAUUUCCAAAAAUCUAAUGCCAAACGACUAAAUGCUUGGGUGGGGUGAUAGCCAGCUCUGAUGACAUAGCAAAUGCACAUUGUAUGCGUAUGGCCGGUAAUAGUGAAGUCUGCAGCCAUAUUGCAGCAAUCCUAUUUUUAGCUGAGUAUGCCCAGGGCAAGACAGACGAAGAAGAACCCAA
Molecule: long non-coding RNA, 917 nt
Organism: Diabrotica virgifera virgifera (western corn rootworm)
Lineage: Eukaryota; Metazoa; Arthropoda; Insecta; Coleoptera; Chrysomelidae
Exons: 2
Source: RefSeq, a predicted model, not a curated record